CCUACGGGUGGCUGCAGUGGGGAAUAUUGCGCAAUGGGCGAAAGCCUGACGCAGCGACGCCGCGUGAGGGAUGAAGGUCUUCGGAUCGUAAACCUCUGUCAGCAGGGAAGAACGGUCACUGUGCUAAUCAGCAGUGAAUUGACGGUACCUGCAAAGGAAGCACCGGCUAACUCCGUGCCAGCAGCCGCGGUAAUACGGAGGGUGCGAGCGUUAAUCGGAAUUACUGGGCGUAAAGCGCUCGUAGGCGGUAUGUCAAGUCAAGGGUGAAAUCCCCGCGCUCAACGUGGGAACCGCCUUUGAAACUAGCAAACUGGAGUGUGUGAGAGGAUAGUGGAAUUCCAGGUGUAGGAGUGAAAUGCGUAGAUAUCUGGAGGAACAUCAGUGGCGAAGGCGACUAUCUGGCACAUAACUGACGCUGAGGAGCGAAAGCGUGGGUAGCAAACAGGAUUAGAUACCCGAGUAGUC
RNAcentral lists this ribosomal RNA (465 nucleotides) under uncultured bacterium. RNAcentral describes it as "partial 16S ribosomal RNA". It matches the Rfam family "Bacterial small subunit ribosomal RNA", at positions 338 to 795 of the family's 1533-position model. The record is from RNAcentral.